UACGUAGGGGGCCAGCGUUGUCCGGAUUCAUUGGGCGUAAAGCGCGUGUAGGCGGCCAGGUAGGUCCGAUGUGAAAUCUGGAGGCUCAACCUCCAGCGGUCAUUGGAAACCAUCUGGCUAGAGUCCGGGAGAGGUGAGUGGAACUGCGAGUGUAGAGGUGAAAUUCGUAGAUAUUCGCAAGAACACCAGUGGCGAAGGCGGCUCACUGGCCCGGUACUGACGCUGAGGUGCGAAAGCGUGGGGAGCAAACAGG
This 253-nucleotide ribosomal RNA is filed under the name uncultured bacterium. RNAcentral describes it as "partial 16S ribosomal RNA". It matches the Rfam family "Bacterial small subunit ribosomal RNA", at positions 524 to 776 of the family's 1533-position model. The record is from RNAcentral.